GCCUUCAGCCCAUUAGCUCCUAACGAAGAAAAAGAGACAUGGCGGGUUAUGCCUGUACUUCUUUUGCUAACUUCCUUCUCAUUCUUCUAGCCGCUAGUUUCCACAUAAAUUCCAUGUCAGCUGGUAGAGUUCUCAGUACCCCCAAAACUUACGCAGAAUUUAUAAGAACAUCUUGCAGUACAACUACUUAUCCAAAACUUUGCUAUAGUUCCCUCUCGGUCCAAGCAAGCAAAAUCCAAAACAGCCCUAAGCUCCUAGCCAAUGCAGCCCUUAACGUGACAUUAGCAUCAGCUAGAUCAACUUCCACUAUGAUGCAAAAACUCUCUCAAAGCCAUGGCAUGAAGCCUAGGGAAGUAUCAGCCAUGCGAGACUGCGUGGAGGAGUUGAGCGACACGGUAGAUGAGCUUAGACAAUCCAUUGGCGAAAUGGGUGAGGCUAAAGGGUCCAAUACUAAGCUUAUGAUUGGCGACAUACAAACAUGGGUUAGUGCUGCCUUGACUGACGAGAGUACCUGCAGUGAUGGGUUCGAUGGGAAUACCAUGAAUGGCAAUGUGAAGAGUGCAGUUAGGAAACAGAUUCUGAAAAUCGCACACUUGACUAGUAAUGCCUUGGCCUUGAUCAACAAUUAUGCCUCUGUUCACGGUUGAUUAGAUGAUCUGGGAUGAGGUUAUCUCUACAAUUAAUUACUCUAGUUAGAGUGAUGGGGCUUCAAUAAAUUGUCUGUAACAUAUAUUUAGUGUGAUGCUUGUGUGUCAAUACGGAUGGCAACGUGCCUCCAUAAGGAUGCUAAGGUAGAAUGUAUGUAAAUAUAAUUUUAUCAUAUUAGUGAAAAAGGUCUGUGUAAGUGGAUACUAGAUCUUGUGAUUUAUAUGAAAACUGGCUAUUGUUCAAUCGGCG
Molecule: unclassified non-coding RNA, 897 nt
Filed under: Hevea brasiliensis (rubber tree)
Lineage: Eukaryota; Viridiplantae; Streptophyta; Magnoliopsida; Malpighiales; Euphorbiaceae
Source: RNAcentral